CCCGGCGGCACUAGCGCGGUGGUCCCACCUGACCCCAUGCCGAACUCAGAAGUGAAACGCCGUAGCGCCGAUGGUAGUGUGGGGUCUCCCCAUGUGAGAGUAGGGAACUGCCGGCA
RNAcentral lists this ribosomal RNA (116 nucleotides) under Klebsiella pneumoniae. The record is from RNAcentral. Lineage: Bacteria; Pseudomonadati; Pseudomonadota; Gammaproteobacteria; Enterobacterales; Enterobacteriaceae.